UACGGAGGGGGCCAGCGUUGUUCGGAAUCAUUGGGCGUAAAGGGCGCGUAGGCGGCCGAGUAAGUCUGACGUGAAAUCCCUUGGCUCAACCAAGGAACUGCGUCUUAAACUGCUCGGCUAGAGUCCGGGAGAGGGUAGUGGAAUUCCCAGUGUAGCGGUGAAAUGCGUAGAUAUUGGGAGGAACACCGGUGGCGAAGGCGGCUACCUGGACCGGUACUGACGCUGAGGCGCGAAAGCUAGGGGAGCAAACAGG
RNAcentral lists this ribosomal RNA (253 nucleotides) under uncultured bacterium. Its description in RNAcentral is "partial 16S ribosomal RNA". It matches the Rfam family "Bacterial small subunit ribosomal RNA", at positions 524 to 776 of the family's 1533-position model. The record is from RNAcentral.